GGCCUCAUAGUUCAAGGGAUAGAACGGAAGUUUCCUAAACUUUAAAUUCAGGUUCGAGUCCUGGUGAGGCUA
This 72-nucleotide transfer RNA is filed under the name Bacteroidota bacterium. RNAcentral's name for it is "tRNA-Arg". It matches the Rfam family "tRNA". From Rfam's summary of the family: Transfer RNA (tRNA) molecules are approximately 80 nucleotides in length. Their secondary structure includes four short double-helical elements and three loops (D, anti-codon, and T loops). The record is from RNAcentral. RNAcentral also lists the same sequence under 1 other name. Lineage: Bacteria; Pseudomonadati; Bacteroidota.